AAAAAAAUUACAAAUACCUAGCAAUAAUUCAGCAGUUUUGGCCUAUCUAUCACACAAAAAUGCAUUUGUUUGAGGUUUUUAUAACAUUAACAAGUCUAUAUUGCGCUGUCUAUUGCCAUGUGGUGUCGCAUCCACGAGAAAUUUUAACUCGUGGGACUCAUGAAAAAGAGCAUGACUUUUUUCAUGCUAAUGAAAAGGAUGAAGACAGAAGUUUGAAUGAAGUUGAUCAGGAGAAUAGUAUUGCUAAUGGAGAUUCAAAAUGUAUGCCUCUGAUUUCU
This is a long non-coding RNA of Sitophilus oryzae (rice weevil), 278 nucleotides long. RefSeq lists it as uncharacterized. The record is from RefSeq and is a predicted model, not a curated record. The transcript has 3 exons. Lineage: Eukaryota; Metazoa; Arthropoda; Insecta; Coleoptera; Curculionidae.